GUGAGAGCAAGAGCCCGGAGAUGGAUUCUGAGACACGAAUCCAGGCCCUACGGGGUGCAGCAGGCGCGAAAACUUUACAAUGCCGGCAACGGCGAUAAGGGGACCUCGAGUGCCAGGUUACAAAUCUGGCUGUCGUGAUGCCUAAAAAGCAUUGCAUAGCAAGGGCCGGGCAAGACCGGUGCCAGCCGCCGCGGUAACACCGGCGGCUCGAGUGGUAACCGUUAUUAUUGGGUCUAAAGGGUCUGUAGCCGGCCGGAUAAGUCUCUUGAGAAAUCCAGCAGCUCAACUGUUGGGCUUUCAGGAGAUACUGUUCGGCUCGAGGCCGGGAGAGGUGAGAGGUACUUCAGGGGUAGGGGUGAAAUCUUGUAAUCCUUGAAGGACCACCAGUGGCGAAGGCGUCUCACCAGAACGGACCUGACGGCAAGGGACGAAAGCUAGGGGCACGAACCGGAUUAGAUACCCGGGUAGUCCUAGCCGUAAACGAUACUCGCUAGGUGUCGGCCACGGUGCGACCGUUGUCGGUGCCGUAGGGAAGCCGUGAAGCGAGC
RNAcentral lists this ribosomal RNA (548 nucleotides) under uncultured archaeon. RNAcentral's name for it is "bacterial SSU rRNA". It matches the Rfam family "Archaeal small subunit ribosomal RNA", at positions 276 to 824 of the family's 1478-position model. The record is from RNAcentral.